This 275-nucleotide long non-coding RNA is filed under the name Homo sapiens (human). RNAcentral describes it as "HSALNT0357504". The record is from RNAcentral. Lineage: Eukaryota; Metazoa; Chordata; Mammalia; Primates; Hominidae.
GGUGAAGUUGCCUGCCAAGUCAGCCAGCUGACGGAGUUUCAUACUUGUUGCCCAGGCUGGAGUGCAAUGGCACAAUCUUGGCUCACCACAAACUCUGCCUCCCAGAUUCAAGUGAGCUCUGUCACCCACGCUAGAGUGCAGUGGCAUGAUCGUAGCGUACUGCAACCUCCACCUCCUGGGCGCAAGAAAUGCUCCCACCUCAGCCUCCUGAGUAGCUGGGACUACAGGUGUGCACCACCACGCCCGGCUACACCACGCCUGGUCUUGAAUUCCUG